CCAUCACCUCAGCACCAGCAACCGGGAGCACCCCACUUCCCCGGAGAGACAGAACUCUGGACAUCACUGCAGGAGGAACCUGGAUGGAUUCAGUAAAGACAGUAGAACUUUCAGGGCAGGGGAAUUUGAAGACCAGAGGCUGAUAAAACUGCCCUUCUAAAUGUAUUCUUCACAGUCAUCCUUUCAUGAGGAGUGAUUUUAAAUCAGAGCCCUCAUGCAGAACCAUCUGACCCACAUAGUCUGUGCCACAGAGGUCAAUAAUAGCAGCCACAGGCUGUCAGUGUCUGCUGGAUCAUGAUGGAGCAGCGUCCGGUCAUGGCAGGAGGACUCCUGGAUACGUCGGGAUCCGCUUCCAGCUCGGAGGACUUCAUUAUAAACACUAGUUACUGCAGCUGACACAAACGUGGGGAAGCUUUAAAUAACGGAUUAAAAUGGAUUGAUGGUGCAUCAUUUAACAGAAAAACAAAAUAUGACCUUUUUAUUUCAUUCAUGACAAAAUCAAAGAUUGUUUUGUUUUGUUCUGGAAGGAUGUCUUGUUGGGUCACAUAUCAAAGAAUAUGUAAAUAAUCUGGUCUGUUCUUAAUAAAUCUCUUGCUCAUUUCGACCAAAUAUCAUACUCACAAAUGUGAAUUCUCUGGACGAAAACCAUGUUUCAUUGUAUUUUUUUCUGAUUUCAGUUUGUUUAUUAAUAGUAUCAGAAACUAAAGCAAUCAAAAUCUUGUCUGUGUGGGAAAGAUUCAAUAUUUUAACGUGAAAACUAAUCCGGCUUAUUUCUAUUCUUUGUUGUUGUUUUUUUUAUAUUCUUGUAUUGAAAUGUUCCCUUUAUUAUAUUACUGAGAAUGAAUCUGUAAAUUGAAAAAAGUGCAAUAAAGUUUGUUUAAAAAACAUGACAAUUUUUCAAGAAUAACUUUAUUUAUAAAAACAAAAAGUGACUGUGAAUCCAUGCGAUACAGAAAGGCACGCCAUUCUGUUAAAUUUGAAUCUAUUCUUAUUAAAAUUUUAAAAUAAAACACA
Molecule: long non-coding RNA, 1014 nt
Organism: Oryzias melastigma (Indian medaka)
Lineage: Eukaryota; Metazoa; Chordata; Actinopteri; Beloniformes; Adrianichthyidae
Exons: 2
Source: RefSeq, a predicted model, not a curated record